CCUUUCAAGUGAAACAAGGGUCGCUCUGGGCACCCCUUGAAGAAGUGAAGAGGAGGACAGAUUAAGGGAAUCUAAGAGCAGAUGGAGAGGGUAUUGACAGUAGGAGAGAAGGACAGGCAGAGAGUUUGGUAGAGCUGUCACGAGAGAGAUAGAGUAUAAGACUAAGGGACAGAUAGAGAGGCUAAGGGACAGUAGGCGAUAUAGAUAGAGUAAGGAAUCAGAUAGCAAAUAGAAAGACUAUAGGUGGUAGAACAGAGGGAGAUGAGGGAGUGGAAGUCAGGACAAGGAAGUGAGGUUCUAGGCAGUCGUUGAGCGGUCGUCGAGGAGCACAGACGGAUCUGGCAGUCGCUGGCCGGUCCUCGAAGA
Long non-coding RNA from Octopus sinensis (East Asian common octopus), 366 nucleotides. RefSeq lists it as uncharacterized. The record is from RefSeq and is a predicted model, not a curated record. The transcript has 3 exons. NCBI's taxonomy places the organism in Eukaryota, Metazoa, Mollusca, Cephalopoda, Octopoda, Octopodidae.